GUGGGGAAUAUUGGGCAAUGGGCGAAACCCUGACGCAGCAACGCCGCGUGAGUGAUGAAGGCCUUCGGGUCGUAAAGCUCUGUCAGAGGGAAAGAAAUGCGGGAGGGUUAAUACCCCUUUUGCUUGACGGUACCCUCAAAGGAAGCACCGGCUAACUCCGUGCCAGCAGCCGCGGUAAUACGGAGGGUGCGAGCGUUGUUCGGAAUUAUUGGGCGUAAAGCGCGUGUAGGCGGUCUUUUAAGUCUGAUGUGAAAGCCCCGGGCUCAACCUGGGAAGUGCAUUGGAAACUGGGAGACUUGAAUACGGGAGAGGGUAGUGGAAUUCCUAGUGUAGGAGUGAAAUCCGUAGAUAUUAGGAGGAACACCGGUGGCGAAGGCGGCUACCUGGACCGAUAUUGACGCUGAGACGCGAAAGCGUGGGGAGCAAACAGGAUUAGAAACCCUAGUAGUCC
This 451-nucleotide ribosomal RNA is filed under the name uncultured bacterium. Its description in RNAcentral is "partial 16S ribosomal RNA". It matches the Rfam family "Bacterial small subunit ribosomal RNA", at positions 354 to 796 of the family's 1533-position model. The record is from RNAcentral.